UGGUUAGUUGUGAUAGAUAGUGAGUGGUGUUGUUGUGGUUUAUUAAGGGGUUCUAUAGGGGUGUAAUCUGUUGGUAGACCUUAGUUUUUCUUUGGGAUCGCGGGGAAUGAAGCCAUGUGAGCCGGAUAAGAGGACCAGGAUUAGAUACCCUGUUACUCCGGCCGUAAAGUAUGGCCACUAUCACUGGGUUUGCUAGGCGACUACAUUCGAAAGAAUCAAAGUCGAAGUACUUGGCGGUCUAGAGUUAACUCGACCCGUGGGACUUGGCGGUUAAUCCGAUGAUCCGCGUUUUAUCUUACCUAUUUUUGCAACAAUAUCUUUGUUUAGAUAUGCUUCAGUUAGUGUAUGGCCGUCGUCAGUUGUUCUUGAGAGAGUGUUUAAUUUUUUUAACCGCCUGUUUUAGUAUAGGGUACAGGUUAAGGGGAAAGUUGCUUGACUCAGUCAUUUUUGAGGGUUUGGCUGAAUGAAGUCAGGUCGUUAUGUUGCUUAUGAAUGGGGCUUAGCUGAGUCACAAUGAUAAAUUUUUCCCAAAGUAUUGGGGUUGGCAGAGGCUGUCUGAAAUGGGGGCUGUAAGUAGGAAUGGGCAGUAAUUGAAGAGUAGGGCGCUUUGGUGAAGUGGAGAUCU
This 625-nucleotide ribosomal RNA is filed under the name Estellacar olivacea. Its description in RNAcentral is "partial small subunit ribosomal RNA". It matches the Rfam family "Bacterial small subunit ribosomal RNA", at positions 614 to 1376 of the family's 1533-position model. Lineage: Eukaryota; Metazoa; Mollusca; Bivalvia; Arcoida; Noetiidae. The record is from RNAcentral.